This 406-nucleotide ribosomal RNA is filed under the name uncultured bacterium. Its description in RNAcentral is "partial 16S ribosomal RNA". It matches the Rfam family "Bacterial small subunit ribosomal RNA", at positions 30 to 526 of the family's 1533-position model. The record is from RNAcentral.
AUUGAACGCUGGCGGCAGGCCUAACACAUGCAAGUCGAACGUGUGGCGGACGGGUGAGCAAUGUCUGGGAAACUGCUUGAUGGAGGGGUAUAACCACUGGAAACGGUAGACAACACCGCAUACUAUCGGAUGUGCCCAUAUGGGUUUAGCUAGUAGGCGGGGUAAAGGCCCACCUAGGCGACGAUCCCUAGCUGGUCUGAGAGGAUGACCAGCCAAACUUGAACGGAGACACGGUCCAGACUCCUACGGGAGGCAGCAGUGGGGAAUAUUGCACAAUGGGCGCAAGCCUGAUGCAGCCAUGCCGCGUGUAUGAAGAAGGCCUUCGGGUUGUAAAGUACUUUCAGCGGGGAGGCGUUACCCGCAGAAGAAGCACCGGCUAACUCCGUGCCAGCAGCCGCGGUAAUAC